RNAcentral lists this ribosomal RNA (301 nucleotides) under uncultured bacterium. Its description in RNAcentral is "partial 16S ribosomal RNA". It matches the Rfam family "Bacterial small subunit ribosomal RNA", at positions 509 to 808 of the family's 1533-position model. The record is from RNAcentral.
CAGCCGCCGCGGUAAUACGUAGGUGGCAAGCGUUGUCCGGAAUUAUUGGGCGUAAAGCGCGCGCAGGCGGUUUCUUAAGUCUGAUGUGAAAGCCCCCGGCUUAACCGGGGAGGGUCAUUGGAAACUGGGAGACUUAGAGUGCAGAAGAGGAGAGUGGAAUUCCAUGUGUAGCGGUGAAAUGCGUAGAGAUGUGGAGGAACACCAGUGGCGAAGGCGACUCUCUGGUCUGUAACUGACGCUGAGGAGCGAAAGCGUGGGGAGCGAACAGGAUUAGAUACCCCGGUAGUCCCUGUCUCUUAUU